ACGAAAAUAAAAAUUAAUUACACAGUUCAUCUAUAAUUUACGAGACAAAUCUUUUAAGCUUAGUUAGUCUAUGAUUAGAUAAUAUUUGUCAAAUACAAACAAAAGUACUAUAGUGUCUAUUUUGAAAAAAAAAUAAAAGUAAACAAGGCCUAAAAGAAGUAGCACCAGUCUUAAGAGUCCGGUGAAACUCAUACAAGAAUCUAUAACUGAAGAUCUCAAAUCCUCACAAACAUACACCGAUCAAACAGUCGAUGAGAACAUCAACUGUGCUAUUGGAGUAUAUUAAUGAGGAUCCCAAUUGUGCUCCCUGAUUCUGAGUGAUUUAAAAUCAUUUGGCAAGCUGUCUGUGAAGUGAUAUCUGAAAUGGAUGAUUUUGCUGGAAUUGUCCAUAAGGUAAAGUAAAAUUUAACUUUAAGGUUAUAUGCCCUC
Molecule: long non-coding RNA, 429 nt
Filed under: Sorghum bicolor (sorghum)
Lineage: Eukaryota; Viridiplantae; Streptophyta; Magnoliopsida; Poales; Poaceae
Description: long non-coding RNA (SBIC_LNC011746)
Source: RNAcentral